This 249-nucleotide ribosomal RNA is filed under the name Triticum aestivum (bread wheat). RNAcentral describes it as "partial small subunit ribosomal RNA". The record is from RNAcentral. Lineage: Eukaryota; Viridiplantae; Streptophyta; Magnoliopsida; Poales; Poaceae.
AUGGCGCCUUCAGAAAAGAACCUCUGUGCGAUCAUGCUCCUCAUUGUCAUCGUGGCCGCCGUAUGUCCACUGUGUUCAAUGGCAUUUGCAUGCGCCGAGCCGAGUAAUUGCCGGCACCUGAGCGGCAAUUAUAGAGGACCGUGCUUUGGCUUUACCGACGGUUGCGAUACUACAUGCGAAGAUGAAAGCUCCGCUAACAGGUGGGGCGAGUGUGACUGUGACUUUAAAUGCUACUGCUAUACAUGCUAG